AAGUCGUAACAAGGUUUCCGUAGGUGAACCUGCGGAAGGAUCAUUAAAAGAAUAUCGAGCCUUCACAGCUCUUCAUUCUCACCCUUUGUAUAUCAAACUUUGUUGCUUUGGCAGCGCCUUUAGGGCCUGCAGAGGCCGAAACCCUAGAAUCUCUUGCCGUCUGAGUACCUAUAGUUAAUAGUUCAAAA
This 188-nucleotide unclassified non-coding RNA is filed under the name plant metagenome. Its description in RNAcentral is "partial contains small subunit ribosomal RNA and internal transcribed spacer 1". The stretch from base 1 to 46 matches the Rfam family "Eukaryotic small subunit ribosomal RNA", at positions 1786 to 1831 of the family's 1831-position model. The record is from RNAcentral.